UGACAGUACUCCUACGGGGAGGCAGCAGUGGGGGAAUAUUGCACAAUGGGCGCAAGCCUGAUGCAGCCAUGCCGCGUGUGUGAAGAAGGCCUUCGGGUUGUUAAAGCACUUUCAGUCGUGAGGAAGGUAGUGUAGUUAAUAGCUGCAUUAUUUGACGUUAGCGACAGAAGAAGCACCGGCUAACUCCGUGCCAGCAGCCGCGGUAAUACGGAGGGUGCGAGCGUUAAUCGGAAUUACUGGGCGUAAAGCGCAUGCAGGUGGUUUGUUAAGUCAGAUGUGAAAGACCCGGGGCUCAACCUCGGAAUAGCAUUUGAAACUGGCAGACUAGAGUACUGUAGAGGGGGGUAGGAAUUUCAGGUGUAGCGGUGAAAUGCGUAGAGAUCUGAAGGAAUACCGGUGGCGAAGGCGGCCCCCUCGGACAGAUACUGACACUCAGAUGCGAAAGCGUGGGGAGCAAACAGGAUUAGAUACCCUGGUAG
Molecule: ribosomal RNA, 479 nt
Filed under: uncultured bacterium
Lineage: Bacteria
Description: bacterial SSU rRNA
Rfam family: Bacterial small subunit ribosomal RNA
Source: RNAcentral